Molecule: long non-coding RNA, 864 nt
Filed under: Cricetulus griseus (Chinese hamster)
Lineage: Eukaryota; Metazoa; Chordata; Mammalia; Rodentia; Cricetidae
Description: lncRNA (ENSCGRG00015032096.1)
Source: RNAcentral
CCUCCCUCCCUCCCUUCCUUCCUUUCUUCAGUCUGGCCUGCAAUUUUUUUAUCCUCCUGCCUCCUGGAUGCUGGAAUUGCAGGCAUAUGACACUAUAUAAGGAACUCCCAGCCAAUGAAGACCUGCCCGACGGCAACCUCUGGAUGAUCUGGAAAGAAAAUGGGCCAUACCUCCUUGAGUACACUGGAUCCAACUUGUUUCAUUUCAACCAGAACUUCAGGUACUGACUUCAAUCAACACGAGAACUUCAAUCAAGGACUUCAACCUGGACCUUCAAUCAAGCAUCUCCCACCAGACACUGACUGGAUAUAACCCAUUCAGGACUUUUAUUACACUAACAUUUCUUCCCACAGGACCCUACAAGGCUGUCAUCCUCCCAGUUCAGCAGGAAGUAGCAUGGAAAAUGCUACUUUCCCCCUUUCCCCACUGUUGACACCUAUUUAGAGCUAGUUUCCAAUUGUUUAAGGUUGGGCUUGGUAGGAGGUGUUCAAGCUUGGACAUCUCUUUCAGAUGACUUUAAGGUUUAGUUGGAAUAGUUAUAGUUAAGAUGUGACAUCAGUAGAUUAUUAUAACUUCUUGUAAUUCACCCUUAUGAUUGUUAAAGAUAGAUAAUUUGGUGGGAUUCUAGGUGUGUGCCAGAAUUACUCCAGUGUAGGGAGACACUGUAGCCCCACCUCCUAGUAGCCUGGACAGGUGUGCUGGGACACGCCCUUAAGGGCGUGGUUAGGGGAAGUCUAAGGUGACGCAGGGAGGGUUCUUAAGGGACUGAGCACACAUGGGGACUCUUUUCCCUUCUUCCUUCUCUCCUGCCUGGCAAGUUUUGGCUUGCACCUGGCUGGUGUUAUCUGAAUAAAGAAAACCUUA